CUGUUCUUCAAGUCUUGGCAUGUUUUUUUUUGUCAGUGAUUAUGGUAUUUUCAUUAACAUUGCCACUGUCAUGGGGCCAACACCUCCAGGAACUAGAGUGAUAUAACUGGCUUUUUGCAUAACUCCUUUAAAAUCCACAUUUCUAACAACUUAGGUUUAGCAGUUACAAGACCUUGAACUAUAUCUAUUCCCACAUCAAUAACUAUUGCUCCUUCCUUGAUCAUAUUUGCUGUGAUCAGAUUUGGAAUGCCUGCAGUUGUCCCGACCUGCUGGACGAGCAACGCAGACCCUAGGGAGGGAGUGGGGAUUAAGAGAGAGACAGGAGACGCGAAGAAUGGAGACAAGUCAAAGAUCUGAUCAAGUCUCGUUUAUUAGGUACAAAGCAGCUGCUUAUAAGCAAGCAAAGGCGGGAAGCUCUGAGUUCUGACAUCAGAAAGUAAUCAUGAAGACAAGGCUGCAGGCUGGCCUCCUAAGAAGAAUGUGAAACUUAGAUAAGAGAAGCAGAAGCUUGAGCAACAAGAUCACAAGACGGCUAUCAUGACGCUCAAGAUGGCCACUGCUCCCUACAUGCAAUGAAUAUUACAAUAUCUGCAAGAAUUGUAUGUUUCUUCAACUCCUCUUUGGGAGUAUAUCAAUGAGAUAUUGUAACAGUGGCAUCACCUCUGUGAUGUUCAUGUACCCCAUCUGUGUGCAGUGAUAUUGCAAUGGGCAUUCCAACAAAUUUUUUGACCUUCCAGCCGCAACCAUAUUCUUUCCUAGGGUUGGAAUGCCAGUUUGCUUAAUUAUUUCCCAGACACCCCAUGGAGUGGCUGAUGUGCUAUAGCGGUCCUAGAGUUAGAACCAGAGCAAUGCCAUUUUAUACAAGACAAAAACUGUUUUCCAAAAAUAAGUUAUAACGGCUGACCCCCUCUCCUCGCACUAACUGCUGUUCUUGGCUUCUGUAAAUAAAACCUGCUAGCUUGCUCUAAAAUGACCAGCCUUUGCUUAUCAGUAGUUACCAGAAUUACUUCUGCUUAUCCGCAAGUAUUGAAAAGAUGCUUGCCCUGCAUCCCCUCACCCUGAACCCAGGAUGUGGUUUUUCAGCUUAAAUACCCUGCCCC
Molecule: long non-coding RNA, 1100 nt
Filed under: Callithrix jacchus (white-tufted-ear marmoset)
Lineage: Eukaryota; Metazoa; Chordata; Mammalia; Primates; Cebidae
Description: lncRNA (ENSCJAG00000079333.1)
Source: RNAcentral